Molecule: ribosomal RNA, 164 nt
Filed under: Coreopsis cyclocarpa
Lineage: Eukaryota; Viridiplantae; Streptophyta; Magnoliopsida; Asterales; Asteraceae
Also listed under: 2 other names
Description: 5.8S ribosomal RNA
Rfam family: 5.8S ribosomal RNA
About the family: 5.8S ribosomal RNA (5.8S rRNA) is a component of the large subunit of the eukaryotic ribosome.
Source: RNAcentral
UAAACGACUCUCGGCAACGGAUAUCUCGGCUCACGCAUCGAUGAAGAACGUAGCAAAAUGCGAUACUUGGUGUGAAUUGCAGAAUCCCGUGAACCAUCGAGUUUUUGAACGCAAGUUGCGCCCGAAGCCUUUUGGCCGAGGGCACGUCUGCCUGGGCGUCACGC